This 553-nucleotide ribosomal RNA is filed under the name Sciocoris helferi. RNAcentral's name for it is "partial large subunit ribosomal RNA". The record is from RNAcentral. Lineage: Eukaryota; Metazoa; Arthropoda; Insecta; Hemiptera; Pentatomidae.
CGCCCCCGUUUUUUAACAAACAUGUCUUAAUGGAUUUUAUAUUAAGUUUGGUUUGCUCAAUGAUUUUAAUUAAAUAGCCGCAGUAUUUUGACUGUGCGAAGGUAGCAUAAUCAUUUGUCUYUUAAUUGGAGGCUUGUAUGAAUGAUCGGAUGAGAGAAUAGCUUUCUUUACAUUAAGUAACUGAAUUUAAUUUUUUAGUUAAAAAGCUUAAAUUUUUAAGUGGGACGAGAAGACCCUAUAGAAUUUUAUUUUUUUUUUGAUUAUUUUAUUAUGGUAAUUGAAUAAUUUUAAUUGUAAGGGAAAUUUUGUUGGGGUGACAAUGAGAUUCARAUAACUCUCAUAUUUUAUAUUUUAUUAAUUUAUAUAUUUUUUUGAUCCUUAAUUUAGGAUUAACAGACUAAAUUACCUUAGGGAUAACAGCGUAAUUCUUUUGGAGAGUUCUUAUCGAUGAAGGAGUUUGCGACCUCGAUGUUGGAUUAAAAUUAGAUUUAAGUGCAAAAGCUUAAUUUCUAGGUCUGUUCGACCUUUAAAAUUUUACAUGACGGGUUUCUCC